Long non-coding RNA from Alligator sinensis (Chinese alligator), 262 nucleotides. RefSeq lists it as uncharacterized. The record is from RefSeq and is a predicted model, not a curated record. The transcript has 3 exons. Lineage: Eukaryota; Metazoa; Chordata; Crocodylia; Alligatoridae.
ACAACUGGUGGACUCAGCUCAAGAACAACAGACAAACAGGAAGGCCAAAGCCUCUGAAGUGAUAUGCCCAGGAUGUGGGUAUCAACAACAUUGGUUUGGCUCCAAGGAAUUUCAUUUUCUGAAGAAUUUUGAAAAUCAACCCCUAUGAAUUCAGAAGAAAUCUUAAAAAGGAACAGGGUGGAUCCAGAAUGUUUUAUGAAUGUUAGUGAUCAGCGCUGGAUGGCUUAAGGAAGAUAUCUUAAAAAAUAAAAGUCCUUCAUGC